This 253-nucleotide ribosomal RNA is filed under the name uncultured bacterium. RNAcentral's name for it is "partial 16S ribosomal RNA". It matches the Rfam family "Bacterial small subunit ribosomal RNA", at positions 524 to 776 of the family's 1533-position model. The record is from RNAcentral.
UACGAAGGGGGCUAGCGUUGCUCGGAAUCACUGGGCGUAAAGGGUGCGUAGGCGGGUCUUUAAGUCAGGGGUGAAAUCCUGGAGCUCAACUCCAGAACUGCCUUUGAUACUGAGGAUCUUGAGUUCGGGAGAGGUGAGUGGAACUGCGAGUGUAGAGGUGAAAUUCGUAGAUAUUCGCAAGAACACCAGUGGCGAAGGCGGCUCACUGGCCCGAUACUGACGCUGAUGCGCGAAAGCUAGGGGAGCAAACAGG